Molecule: long non-coding RNA, 515 nt
Organism: Dermacentor andersoni
Lineage: Eukaryota; Metazoa; Arthropoda; Arachnida; Ixodida; Ixodidae
Source: RefSeq, a predicted model, not a curated record
UAUGUACCCGCACUGAAACAAUACGGCAGUUUCGAUAGCGGCUGCGCAAAAUUAGGUGCGUUUAUCAAAGCUUGCGCUCAAAAGGAGAAAAAUUGUUAGCACUUUUGACGCUUCGUACCUUCCGAGAUUUUCAUUAUUUCUACCUGCUUCCUUUUUUUCACGAACAGGGGGCUUGAAAGAAGGCGCUGAGAUCUUACUCUACGCAAGCGAAAACUACAGCUGCGCCGUGCUUAACGUCACAUAUGUAUUGGGCGUUCCAGACUACUGGUUUGAUCUACGCGUGCGGAAUUCCUCCGUGGACAUGGGACCGACUAAGGAGUGCCAAAAUAUCUUCAAGCACUACGCUCCGAAGUCCCAGCAAAUGUAUUCUUCCAAUUGUCAGAAAAUUCUAGAUGCUCCUACCGUAUCUACUACUCGCUUUUCAGAAAUGCUUAAAUAAAUUGAAAAUUGACGCAUUUUUAGGGAAUUUAUUUCCGUAGGUCAUUUUGUUUUUGCACAAUAAAAUGUAAGCUGUU